This 728-nucleotide ribosomal RNA is filed under the name Priestia megaterium. RNAcentral describes it as "bacterial SSU rRNA". It matches the Rfam family "Bacterial small subunit ribosomal RNA", at positions 134 to 844 of the family's 1533-position model. The record is from RNAcentral. Lineage: Bacteria; Bacillati; Bacillota; Bacilli; Caryophanales; Bacillaceae.
AAGACUGGGAUAACUUCGGGAAACCGAAGCUAAUACCGGAUAGGAUCUUCUCCUUCAUGGGAGAUGAUUGAAAGAUGGUUUCGGCUAUCACUUACAGAUGGGCCCGCGGUGCAUUAAGCUAGUUGGAUGAGGUAACGGCUCACUCAAGGCAACGAUGCAUAGCCGACCUGAGAGGGUGAUCGGCCACACUGGGACUGAGACACGGCCCAGACUCCUACGGGAGGCAGCGGUAGGGAAUCUUCCGCAAUGGACGAAAGUCUGACGGAGCAACGCCGCGUGAGUGAUGAAGGCUUUCGGGUCGUAAAACUCUGUUGUUAGGGAAGAACAAGUACAAGAGUAACUGCUUGUACCUUGACGGUACCUAACCAGAAAGCCACGGCAUAACUACGUGCCAGAGCCGCGUAAUACGUAGGUGGCAAGCGUUAUCCGGAAUUAUUGGGGUAAAGCGCGCGCAGGCGGUUUCUUAAGUCUGAUGUGAAAGCCCACGGCUCAACCGUGGAGGGUCAUUGGAAACUGGGGAACUUGAGUGCAGAAGAGAAAAGCGGAAUUCCACGUGUAGCGGUGAAAUGCGUAGAGAUGUGGAGGAACACCAGUGGCGAAGGCGGCUUUUUGGUCUGUAACUGACGCUGAGGCGCGAAAGCGGUGGGGAGCAAACAGGAUUAGAUACCCUGGUAGUCCACCGCCGUAAACGAUGAGUGCUAAGUGUUAGAGGGUUUCCGCCCUUUAGU